RNAcentral lists this ribosomal RNA (460 nucleotides) under uncultured bacterium. Its description in RNAcentral is "partial 16S ribosomal RNA". It matches the Rfam family "Bacterial small subunit ribosomal RNA", at positions 338 to 795 of the family's 1533-position model. The record is from RNAcentral.
CCUACGGGAGGCAGCAGUGAGGAAUAUUGGUCAAUGGGCUUACGCCUGAACCAGCCAAGUCGCGUGAGGGAAGACUGCCCUAUGGGUUGUAAACCUCUUUUGUCAGGGAGCAACGCCGGCUACGUGUAGCCGGACUGAGAGUACCUGAAGAAAAAGCAUCGGCUAACUCCGUGCCAGCAGCCGCGGUAAUACGGAGGAUGCGAGCGUUAUCCGGAUUUAUUGGGUUUAAGGGGUGCGUAGCCGGAACGCCAAGUCAGCGGUAAAAUCGCGGGGCUAAACCGUGCUUCGCCGUUGAAAUUGGCGUUCUUGAGUGGGCGAGAAGUAUGCGGAAUGCGGGGUGUAGCGGUGAAAUGCAGAGAUAUCACGCAGAACUCCGAGUGCGAAGGCAGCAUACCGGCGCGCAACUGACGCUGAAGCGCGAAAGCGUGGGUAUCGAACAGGAUUAGAUACCCGGGUAGUC